GACCCGUCUUGAAACACGGACCAAGGAGUCUAACAUGUGUGCGAGUUUUUGGGUGGCAAACCCAUGAGCGUAAUGAAAGUGAAUACAGGUGGGAUCCGCAAGGAGCACCAUCGACCGGCCCUGAACUUCUGGGAUGGGUCUGAGUAAGGGCAUAUAUGUUGGGACCCGAAAGAUGGUGAACUAUGCCUGAAUAGGGCGAAGCCAGAGGAAACUCUGGUGGAGGCUCGAAGCGAUACUGACGUGCAAAUCGAUCGUCAAAUUUGGGUAUAGGGGCGAAAGACUAAUCGAACCAUCUAGUAGCUGGUUCCUUCCGA
This 314-nucleotide ribosomal RNA is filed under the name Heterodera latipons. RNAcentral's name for it is "eukaryotic LSU rRNA". It matches the Rfam family "Eukaryotic large subunit ribosomal RNA", at positions 646 to 964 of the family's 3401-position model. The record is from RNAcentral. Lineage: Eukaryota; Metazoa; Nematoda; Chromadorea; Rhabditida; Heteroderidae.